RNAcentral lists this long non-coding RNA (3441 nucleotides) under Phasianus colchicus (ring-necked pheasant). Its description in RNAcentral is "lncRNA (ENSPCLG00000014111.1)". The record is from RNAcentral. Lineage: Eukaryota; Metazoa; Chordata; Aves; Galliformes; Phasianidae.
GGUGCCCCAUAGCUGGGCUGGUUGCCCCAUAGCUGGGAUGGUUGCCCCAUAGCUGGGCUGGUUGCCCCAUAGAUGGGCUGGUUGCCCCAUAGCUGGGCUAGUUGCCCCAUAGAUGGGUUGGGUGCCCCAUAAAUGGUCUCUGUGCCCCAUAGCUGCGUUGGUUGCCCCAGAGAUGAAUUGGGGCACAGAUCCCCACAGCUGGGCUGGUUGCCCCAUAGAUGGAUUGGUUGCCCCACAGAUGGGUUGGUUGCCCCAUAGCUGGGUUGUUUGCCCCACAGCUGGGCUGGUAGCCCCAUAAAUGGAUUGGUUGCCCCAUAGAUGGUUGGUUGCCCCAUUGAUGGAUUGGGUGCCCCAUAGCUGGGCUGGUUGCCCCAUAGCUGGGCUAGUUGCCCAUAGGUGGGUUGAUAGCCCCAUAGAUGGGUUGGGUGCCCCAUAGAUGGUCUCUGUGCCCCAUAGAUGAGUUGGUUGCCCCAUAGCUGUGUUGGUUGCCCCACAGCUGGGCUGGUAGCCCCACAGCUGGGCUGGUAGCCCCAUCUCCAUCCGUGCCCCCGUUUCCCGCAGAGCUGCAGCAGCUGCGCUCGGCGCUGCCGGGAGCCGCGGUGCUGCAGCGCCUGCCGCAGUCCGGCGCCGUUUUGGUGCUGCCGCCGGCGGCGCCGCGCGACCUCCUGGAGCUCUACUUCGAGAACCGCCGCAGCGCCGGCGGCAAAGUGGGCGCCGUGAGGCUGCGCCGCGAUGGGGCCGCCGUCGUCACCUUCCGAGACCCACAGGUGGUGCCGCGGGUGCUGCGCCGGACGCAUCGGCUGCAGGACGUGGAGCUGCGUGUGGUGCCGUACUACCAGGCCCUGGAGAUGGAUGGCGCCGAUCCGGCACCGGGCGAUGGCACAGAUCCGGCACUGGGCGAUGGCACAGAUCCGGCACCGGGCGAUGGCACAGAUCCGGCACCAGGUGGUGUAGAUCCGUGGGAUCUGGCAGCCACCAACACCUCGCAGCUGAGUGCGGAGCUGCCGGCUGCGGACUCUCCGGUGAUGCCACCGUGGACGACCCUGGACCCCACGGUGACACCAAAAGGGACAAACCGAGACCCCGUGGUGGUGACACCAGGAGGGACCCUGAACCGCCCGGUGACACCAGGGAGGACCACCGAGGACCCCAUGGUGACACCAGGGAGGACCCAGAACCCCACGGUGACACCAGGGAGCACCCGUAACCUCAUGGCGACACCAAAGACGACAACCCGCGUCCCUCCGGCGACACCAAAGACGCCCCCCCAAGACCCCACGCCGACACCAGGUGUGACCACCCUGGACCCCAGCGCGGCGUCACCGUCACCAUCGCCGGCCCAGGAGCGCGUGGUGCUGCCGGAAGCGACGCUGCAAUUCCUGCGCCGCGCCGACGUCCGCGCUCAGCUGUCCGGCACCGCGCCGUACGCCGUGGUCGGCACCGCGGUGCUGCUGACGGCCCCCAGCCCCGCGGACGCCCGCCGUGCCGCGCGGCGCCUGCAGGACGCGCUGGGUGCCUUCGCCGUGGCGGUGCCGCCGCGGUGCCGCGUGCCGGGGCCGGGAUCGCCGUGCUGGCGGCGGCUGCGGUGCUGCGCGGUGCGGCGGAGCGCGGACGGGCGCUGGGUGCAGGGCCUGACCCUGCGCGGCAUGGAGGAGGAGAACCGGCGCCGCGUGUGGGACGCCGUGCGGGGGGAUGGCAGCAUGGAUCCCGGCGGGGUGGAUCCCGGUGGCGUAGAUCCUGGCGGGGUGGAUCCCAGCGGUGUGGAUCCCGGUGGUGAGCGGCAGCGCGGCGGGGAUGGCGGCGGGGAUCCCACGGUGGGUGCAGAUCCCGCUGUGCGGCCCAGCAGAGGACGCAGGGUGGAUCCCGACGGAGAUCCCAACUCGUGGCUCAACCUGGAACCCGACGGAGAGCCCGAUUCACAGCCCGUCCUGGAUCCCAGCGUGGAUCCCAACGUGGAUCCCAAUGGAGAUCCCAAUUCACGGCCCAUCAUGGAACCCAUCCUGGAUCCCAACAGAGAUCCCAAUUCACGGCCCAGCGUGGAUCCCAGCAGAGAUCCCAAUCCAUGGCUCAUCGUGGAACCCAGCGCGGAUCCCAUGGUGGAUCCCAGCGCCGAUCGGCGGCCCAGCCCGGCCCCCUCCGCGGAUCCCGCAGCUCCCGGCGCGGCGCCGGCGGAGGCGGUGGUUCCGAUGGCCGCGGGCGCCCUGCGCUUCCUGCAGGAGCGGCGCCGGGCUCUGCUGGCCGCCGUCGGCGGCGUCUCCGUGCUGCCGCUGGGGGGAUCCGACGGCUGCGCCCUGCGGCUGCACCCGGCAGAGCCGCUCAACCGCAGCCGGCGCCCGGAGCUGAGCGGUGAUGCCGGUGUGGGGCGUGGUGACGCCGCGGCACAGCUGUGUGCUGGCAGUGCUGUGCCGUGUGGUGACCGUGGCAAAGGUGAGGAGGGGUGAAGGGUCCUGCGAUGGAGUAGGGGGUCUCCAAAUGGGGUCGGGGUCUCCAAUGGGGAUGGAGGGGGUCCCCAAAUGGGGUUGGGAUGUCCCCAGAUGGGGCCGGGGUCUCAAUUUGGGAUGGAGGGGGUCCCUAAAUGGGGUCGAGGUCCCAAAUUGGGAUGGAGGGGAUCCCUAAAUGGGGUCGGAGGUCCCCAAAUGGGUUUGGGAUGUCCUCAGAUAGGGUGAGGGGUUUCCACUGGGGAUGGAGAGGGUCCCUAAAUGGGGCCAGGGUCUCACAUUGGGAUGGAGUCCCUAAAUAGGGUUAGGAUCUCAAACUGGGAUGGAGGGGCUCCCUAAAUGGGGUUGGGGGUCUCCAAAUCGGUUUGGGGGUCCCCAGAUGGGGUCAGGGUCUCAAAUGGGGAUGGAGGGGGUCCCUAAAUGGGGCCGGGGUCUCAAAUGGGGAUGGAGGGGGUCCCUAAAUGGGAUCGGGAGUCGCCAAAUGGGUUUGGGAUGUCCCCAGAUGGGGUCGGGGUCUCAAAUGGGGAUGGAGGUGGUCCCCAAAUGGGGUUGGGGGUCCCCAGAUGGGGUCAGGGAUCCCUAAAUGGGGUUGGGGGUCCCCAAAUGGGUUUGGGAUGUCCCCAGAUGGGGUCAGGGGUCUCCANNNNNNNNNNNNNNNNNNNNNNNNNNNNNNNNNNNNNNNNNNNNNNNNNNNNNNNNNNNNNNNNNNNNNNNNNNNNNNNNNNNNNNNNNNNNNNGUCGGGGUCCCCAAAUGGGUUUGGGAUGUCCCCAGAUGGGGUCAGGGUCUCAAACUGGGAUGGAGGGGGUCCCUAAAUGGGGCUGGGGGCCCUCGAUAUGAGUGGGGCUGGGAGUUUUCCAAGUUGGAGUUAAAAGUUCCCAAAUUGGGUUUUCCAAAUUGGGGUGGAGUGGAGCUGGGGGGCUUUGAAUAGGGUUGGGGGUCCCGAAAUGGGGCUGGGGGGCUUCAAAUGGGGCUGGGGGUCCCCAAAUGGGGCUGGGGGUGUUG